UUUCCGUAGGUGAACCUGCGGAAGGAUCAUUAUCGUAUAACCGAGGUGCGAGGGCUGUCGCUGACCCGAAAGGACGUGCACGCCCGAGCGCUCUUACAUACAUCCCUCUCCACCCUAUGUGCAUCUCCGUGCGGCUCCCCCCCCUGCUCUUUCGGUGGGGGGCUUACGUUUUCUUACACACUUUGUCUGCCGUGUAGCAUGUAUUUUUUGCUUUUGCGUUCACGCCCCCAACACAUCUUCCAACAACGGAUCUCUUGGCUCUCGAUACGCUGAAGAACC
This 279-nucleotide unclassified non-coding RNA is filed under the name plant metagenome. RNAcentral's name for it is "partial contains small subunit ribosomal RNA, internal transcribed spacer 1, and 5.8S ribosomal RNA". The record is from RNAcentral.